RNAcentral lists this long non-coding RNA (4661 nucleotides) under Sus scrofa (pig). Its description in RNAcentral is "lncRNA (ENSSSCG00050018641.1)". The record is from RNAcentral. Lineage: Eukaryota; Metazoa; Chordata; Mammalia; Artiodactyla; Suidae.
AAGUAAACUGUUUCUCCCUCCAAGGGACAGAUCUGGAGCCUCUCCUACUACUAUCUCAAAUAACCUACUUGCAAAUUUCAAAACAAAAGACACAAGGAAAUUACAGACUGUCACUUUUAUUUACAACUUCCUUCCAAUGAGAGGCUGUACUUGCAGGGCUACAUCUGAAACUAAUUUGUGUGGGAUGGACUCAGAGGGAUGGCCAGGCAGCUGGCACAUUGCUGCCAGAUCAGCAGAUGCCACAGCCUCUAAUAGGUAUGUGACCUUGGUCAAGUAACCCAAGGCAUCUACCUGAAGGAAGCGAUGGUUCAGAAGAUGGGGGGCGCUGGGAGAGAAGCAGGGAAGAGGAGAAAAUUGUGCAAAUACAUUUGGAAAAACACAAAGUGCAAUUGAAACUCCAGUCUUAAUCAAAAACAGUAACAGGCUCUGCGAAAUACCCACAAAGCCCUGCUAAAAAUAGGUGAAGUUCAUCCAGAGUUCAAAUCUUCUCAAAAUUACUUUUACUUCCCAGUUUAGGCCUAUCAAAGCUGCCAUGAAGCCCUUAGUUUUUUAAGUUAGAAAACAAACUGUCCAUGCAGACGAAUCAGCAUGUGCUUGCAUCACAAAAUGAAACCAGGAGUGAAAGAAACUUGACAAAUCUUUCCUCACCAUUUUACCGAAGCGCCCUGAGCCCUGAGUUUGGAGUCGGCAAAACAUGAAUUGGAACUUAUUAGCAUCUUGACAACCUCACCGAGCUUCGAAGUUCUUAACCUUUAACGUGGAUUAUGCGUCAUAGGCCCUUAUACUGCUUGGAAUGGAAACAAUUCAAAACUGCUUUCUUUCCACUGUGACAUGACUGAUUCAGAUCAUGUGUAAAUCUGGAAAUCCUCUCUAUGGUCAGACUUGGGCUGAAGGGGAACCCUAGAUGCUUCCCACUGACCCACAGCAUGUGAAAGCGAGGAAAGUGUCUAAUUUGGAAACCAAAUGUCUUUGAGAAGAGUAAUCCAGAUGUAAACUGAAAUCCCCGCUGGCCUCUGAAAUUGAUGUGAAACUGAGGAGCCCUCCCCUCUUUCAGGGGGAAGUUCCCAGUUGCUCUACCUAGGAGUCCUCAAAAUCUCAGCGGCUUGUGUUUUUGUCUGAGUCUGCUUCCACCACACAUGGAAAUUCACCUGAGGUUUGCCUCCUCUUCUCCUCCCCACCCCUCCCAGUGAAGCCACCCACACUCCCCCAUUCAUGGGGUUCUUCAACCAAACCAGUUGUAAACAGUGGAUGGGAAACGUUAGGAAGGUUUGAAGUGGCAGAAAAUUUUUACAAUGACAAAUGCAAUUGACUGGACACUAUGAGGCUUCCUGUACUUAAAAGCAUCUUGCCCCUACCUUUCUCCAGGACAUCCAGCCCUGUCCCUACAGCCCAGGGCCCUCCGUCUCCUUACCCUCUGGCUCACCAGAUUUGCAGGAGGCUUACCUCUCUACAACCCACUGGGCACUAAGCCUCCCUCGGCCCAUCCAGAGACACACUCUGUGCUCUGCUAGGCAGAGAGCUAUUUGCCUGGAGCCCCGGUGAACUCGCAGAGGCUCUGAAAUGUAUUCUUUCCCGCUCUGCAUUGCCCACUCUGGCAAUCUCUGUAAAAAGAAGGACAUAGGAUAGAGAUUUAUUUUCCCACUAAUGUAAGUUAUUAUUCCCCAAGCACCCAAGACAGAGCUGACAAUUUCAGGAUUUUUUUUUUUUUUUGUCUUUUGAGGGCCGCACUGGCGGCAUAUGGAGGUUCCCAGGCUAGGGGUUGAAUUGGAGCUGUAGCCACCAGCCUACACCACAACCACAGCAACUCAGGGUCAGAUCCACGUCUGCGACCUACACCACAGCUAAUGGCAACAUCAGAUCCUUAACCCACUGAGCAAAGCCAGGGAUGAAACCUGCAACCUCAUGGUUACUAGUCAGCUUCGUUAAUCACUGAGCCACAACAGGAACUCCUCUGGAUGUUUUUUAAAUUAAAGUACAGUUGGGCGUUCCCGUUGUGGCUCAGGGGAAACCAUCUGACUAGUAUCCAUGAGAACACAGGUUCGACCCCUGGCCACACUCAGUGGGUUAAGGAUCCUACAUUGCCAUGAGCUGUGGUGUAGGUCGCAGGCAUGGCUCGGAUCCCACGUUGCUAUGGCUGUGAUGCAGGCUGGCAGCUGUAGCUACAAUUCGACCCCUCACCUGGGAACCUCCAUGUGCUCCAGGUAAAUAUGUAUAUAUAUUCCAUCAGCUGGAGGUACAGCAAGUUUUUCUACUUACCUAAGGACAUCUAAGUUGCUUCCAGGUUUUGGCAGAGUUCCCGUCGUGGUGCAGUGGUUAACGAAUCUGACUAGGAACCAUGAGGUCGAGAGUUCAAUCCCUGGCCUUGCUCAGUGGGUUGAGGAUCCGUGGUGUAAGUUGCAGAUGAGGCUGUGGUGUAGGUUGCAGACACGGCUCAGAUCCCGCGUUGCUGUGGCUCUGGCAUAGGCUGGUUGCUACAGCUCUGAUUUGAUCCCUAGCUUGGGAACCCUCAUAUGCUGCAGGAGCAGCCCAGGAAAUGGCAAAAAGCCAAAAGGCCAAAAAAAAACCUGCACCCAGAUGUUGAUAAGGAGAUUUACUGAUCAUUGACAAAACUUGGAAGCAACUAAGAUGUCCUUUGGUAGAUUAAAAAACAAAAACAAACAAACAAACAAAAAAAAACGGUGGUACAUCCAGACAGCAGAAUAUUAUUUAGCACUAAAAAUAAAUGAGCUAUAAAGCCAUGGAACGACAUGGGAAAAGCUUAAAUGCAUAUUGCUAAGGGAAAGGAGCAAAUAUUAGAACACAUACUGUAUGAUUCCAACUACACGAUAUUCUGGAAAAGGCAAAACUAUGGAGUCAGUAAAGAGAUUAGCAGUUGCCAGGAAUUGGGGGAUGGAGUAGAUGAAUGAAUAGACAGAGCACAGAGGUGUUUUAGGGCAGUAAAAAUACUCUGUAUGACACUGAAGUGAUAGGUACACAUUACACAUUUUUCCGAACCCACAGAAUGUACGAUACCAGGAGAGAAUUCUAAUAUAAGCCAUUGACUACGGGUGAUUUCGUAAUAAAGGCACUAACUACUGUGCGGCAGGGGAGAGGAGGUUGAUUAUGGGGGGGACGUAUGCCUGUGUUGGGGUAGGAGGUAUGCAGAACCCCUCUCUCGCUUCCCUCUAAUUUUGCCAUAAACAAAUGGAAAUGCCCAUUUUUAUUUUCUCAGAUGACACUUUUGGCUCAAUUGAACUAACCUUCUGAAACUAAAAGGACUGUCAAGCCUGUGGCUGGGAUGCUUUGUCAAACUUUCCUUGACUGUGUCAUUCCAUUUAGGUACAGUCAAUGCCUUAAGAUGUUGUCCCUAGAAAAUUGAGUUAUAAUAGCCACCAGUUACUUAGUGCUUAUGAUAUGUCAGGCACUGGAUAAAAUUCUCAAAAAUUAUUUAAAAAAAAAAAAUCCCAUGAACUACUGGUCAUUAGAAAAGAAGGCUCAGACACAUGAAGUAACUUCCCCAAGGUGACACAGCUAGUAAGUGGCGAUGUUGGUGACUGUGGGACUCAAAAGCCAGUGCUGUUAACACCAUCCCACCUGUCCUUUUUCUUUAGACACUGACUCAGAAGAAAGGAAAAUGGUUUUCUCAAAUUAGAUUUUAUUUGCGUUUGAUACAAAAGCAUUCUAUGUUAAUUAUCUUCAUUGUCAGAAAUGGUGUCUCCAUGUGCUGAGGCAGCGCCUGCUAAUUUGUAUCAAAGGGAAUAAAUGAUGGCAACUUUGUUCAACAAAAUACAAUUUUCUGGUCACCGGCGCAAAGAACCCUCAGAGAUGAACAACUAAAUUAAUGUACAUGAGUCUUAACGCCUCAGAAGAGGUUAUGUUUGAAAUUUAACCCACUGUCUGCGGGGUAGAAAGCAUACAAGACUUAAACGCCACAUUAAGUCAAACCACAAUUAAAGCACAUUAAAUGAGAAUUUCAAAUUCAAUAAUAAGUAUGAGUGAUAAAUGAGAGUGGAUGGCUGUAAAUAAAGAAAGCCCUCUGGUUUUGACUCCACUUCAUGCCACCUGCUUCGUUCAACCAGAGGCCUCCCAUCAUCUCUGUCGUUAAUUCGUGAGAGCAAAUUUAUGCUGCACUAUUUAUCAUUGGCUGUAGCGUUUGCUCAUGGCUGGCUUGGUUCCUCCUUUGGCCUUUGUUUUCCUACUUCUCAGGCAUUAUUUGGCAGAGACGGUCUGGGAAGGGUGUGCCCAGUCCAAUCUGGUGUCUGAGGAUCUUCGUCUACAGGGCCCAUCCGAGACCAUGGAGACUCUGACAAGAACAGGGUCAGAGGAAGGGCUGAGGUCAGAUUGGAAAGGGUUAGGAUAAUGAAUUAAUUAUUUAAUUAAAAAGUUCAGCUGUGAAGGACCCAAGCAUGUUAAAAGUCAGUAAAGAGAGAGCAAUCAAAAGCAAGGGAGUGAGGGAGUUCCCACUGUGGCUCUGUGGGUAAAGAACCUGACUAGUAUCCAUGAGGGUGCGGGUUCAAUCCCUGGUCUCACUCAGUGGAUUAAAGAUCUGGUGUUGCUGUGACCUGUGGUGUAGGUCACAGACGUGGCUCAGAUCCCAUGUUGCUGUGGCUGUGGCGUAGGCUGGCACCUGUAGCUGCUAUUCAACCCUUACCCUGGGAACUUCCAUAUGCUGCAGGUGCAGU